AAAAAUAUUUGGUCUCGCGCCAAAUUUACACCUGUGUACACCAUUGUCUGUAUUUGGUAGCUCGAGCGCGCUCCGGAAGCUCAACACUUCCAUUAGGGGCGCCUACCCUUGCGGGUCACAUCCCGCUUGGGUUGGGCUACCGCCUUUUUUUUGAAAAACCCUUUUUGUUUUGUCUUUUUGUCUGAACGAAGAGUUGAUCUUAAUUGAUUAAUGAUUUGAAAA
This 222-nucleotide unclassified non-coding RNA is filed under the name soil metagenome. RNAcentral's name for it is "partial internal transcribed spacer 1". The record is from RNAcentral.